GACGUAGGGGGCAAGCGUUGUCCGGAAUUAUUGGGCGUAAAGCGCUCGUAGGCGGAUCGGUAAGUCUGUGAAGAAAGACCCGGGCUCAACUCGGGGAACGGCAUAGAUACUGCUGAUCUUGAGACAGUCAGAGGAUGAUGGAAUUCCAGGUGUAGCGGUGAAAUGCAUAGAUAUCUGGAGGAACACCAGUGGCGAAGGCGAUCAUCUGGGGCUGUUCUGACGCUGAGGAGCGAAAGCUAGGGGAGCAAACGGG
RNAcentral lists this ribosomal RNA (253 nucleotides) under uncultured bacterium. RNAcentral's name for it is "partial 16S ribosomal RNA". It matches the Rfam family "Bacterial small subunit ribosomal RNA", at positions 524 to 776 of the family's 1533-position model. The record is from RNAcentral.